AGCUCCAAUAGCGUAUAUUAAAGUUGCUGCCGUUAAAAAGCUCGUAGUCGAACUUCGGCCUCUGUCUGCCGGUCCGCCUUUUUGGUGUGUACUGGUUAUGACGGUGGCUUACCUCUUGGUGAGGCCUCAUGCUCUUAACUGGGUGUGGGGUUGAACCCGGACUUUUACUUUGAAGAAAUCAGAGUGUUCAAAGCAGGCUUACGCCCGAAUGUGUUAGCAUGGAAUAAUAGAAUAGGACGAGCGUUUCUAUUUUGUUGGUUUCUAGGAUCGCCGUAAUGAUUAAUAGGGAUAGUCGGGGGCAUUCGUAUUCAAUUGCUAGAGGUGAAAUUCUUGGAUUUAUUGAAGACGAACUACUGCGAAAGCAUUUGCCAAGGAUGUUUUCA
RNAcentral lists this ribosomal RNA (383 nucleotides) under uncultured eukaryote. RNAcentral's name for it is "SSU rRNA". It matches the Rfam family "Eukaryotic small subunit ribosomal RNA", at positions 587 to 972 of the family's 1831-position model. The record is from RNAcentral.